Molecule: ribosomal RNA, 301 nt
Filed under: uncultured bacterium
Lineage: Bacteria
Description: partial 16S ribosomal RNA
Rfam family: Bacterial small subunit ribosomal RNA
Source: RNAcentral
CAGUAGCCGCGGGAACACGAAGGGGGCUAGCGUUGUUCGGAUUUACUGGGCGUAAAGCGCACGUAGGCGGACUUUUAAGUCAGGGGUGAAAUCCCGGGGCUCAACCCCGGAACUGCCUUUGAUACUGGAAGUCUUGAGUAUGGUAGAGGUGAGUGGAAUUCCGAGUGUAGAGGUGAAAUUCGUAGAUAUUCGGAGGAACACCAGUGGCGAAGGCGGCUCACUGGACCAUUACUGACGCUGAGGUGCGAAAGCGUGGGGAGCAAACAGGAUUAGAUACCCCAGUAGUCCCUGUCUCUUAUAC